GAUGAACGCUGGCGGCGUGCCUAACACAUGCAAGUCGAACGGAGUUACUUUAGUGACGUUUUCGGAUGGAUCUGAUUUAACUUAGUGGCGGACGGGUGAGUAAUGCGUGAGCAACCUGCCCUUCAGAGGGGGACAACAGUUGGAAACGACUGCUAAUACCGCAUAAUGUAUCCGGGAGGCAUCUCCUGGAUACCAAAGGAGAAAUCCGCGGAUGGAUGGGCUCACGUCUGAUUAGCUAGUUGGUGAGGUAACGGCUCACCAAGGCUGCGAUCAGUAGCCGGACUGAGAGGUUGAACGGCCACAUUGGGACUGAGAUACGGCCCAGACUCCUACGGGAGGGAGCAGUAGGGAAUAUUGGGCAAUGGGCGAAAGCCUGACCCAGCAACGCCGCGUGAAGGAAGAAGGCCUUCGGGUUGUAGACUUCUGUUAAGAGGGACGAAGAAGUGACGGUACCUCUUGAAUAAGCCCCGGCUAACUACGU
This 481-nucleotide ribosomal RNA is filed under the name uncultured bacterium. RNAcentral describes it as "partial 16S ribosomal RNA". It matches the Rfam family "Bacterial small subunit ribosomal RNA", at positions 28 to 506 of the family's 1533-position model. The record is from RNAcentral.